GAUGCUGGGAAACCCCGGCUGACGCGCCCCUCCCCCGCCCGCAGUGCGGCUCGGCGGAGUACAUGGCCCCGGAGGUGGUAGAGGCUUUCAGCGAGGAGGCCAGCAUCUACGACAAGCGCUGCGACCUGUGGAGCCUGGGCGUCAUCUUGUACAUCCUGCUCAGCGGCUACCCGCCCUUCGUGGGCCGCUGUGGCAGCGACUGCGGCUGGGACCGCGGCGAGGCCUGCCCUGCCUGCCAGAACAUGCUGUUUGAGAGCAUCCAGGAGGGCAAGUACGAGUUCCCCGACAAGGACUGGGCCCACAUCUCCUGCGCUGCCAAAGACCUCAUCUCCAAGCUGCUCGUCCGUGACGCCAAGCAGAGGCUGAGUGCCGCCCAAGUCCUGCAGCACCCCUGGGUUCAGGGGGUGAGUGCCAGCCGCACGGGCGCCGGGGGAGCAUGGGGGGCUGCAGGGUGGCCUCAGAGCGAGCAUGGGAAGCCCUGAGGGUGUAGCCUGGACACCCUGAGAUGCACUGAGGCCUGAGAGUGCAGGCUCUGCCCUGGGAUGAGGGGUGCAGCCAAAAUCCCCACCGCCCACGUGUGCACGGUGCCUGCUGGCCAGGCAGGCGGCUCCCAGGAGCAGCUACUCAGAGAACCUUCCUGGAGGGUGGUGGGGACCCACACCCUGCAGCAAGCUGGAGUGAAGCGGGCAGCAAGUCCAGCUCACAUAGACCCCAGCCCAGCCUGUCGUCAGUCUCAAGCCCAGGCUCUGCCUCCACCCUUCCCUGUGUGGCCUCCAAUCCAGGAGGAGGCGGGUGUUUCUCCUGCCAGAGGUCAUCUGAGCCGAGCUGCCACCCCAGGGAGUGAGGAUUUACUAAAAAUAGAAGCUGGGGUCACUCUGUGUCCCCAGGCGAGGGGCUGGGGGCCUCCAAACUCCUCCCAGAAGCAUCCAGAGACCCGUGGGUUAAGAGGGGGGCAGAGGUGGGUUUGGGCUGGGAACAGCUGGGAGAGGUGGGGCUUGGGGCUCUGCCCCCACCCUCACUGGGUCCUGUAACACCAGGCCUCAGCCUGGCCCAGCCUCGGGUUCCCUGGGCAGGGGGACAUGGAGCCUCGCCAUAGGGACCUCGGGGCGGGCGCUUGGCUCCCGGGGCACCCG
This 1133-nucleotide small RNA is filed under the name Pongo abelii (Sumatran orangutan). RNAcentral's name for it is "retained intron". Lineage: Eukaryota; Metazoa; Chordata; Mammalia; Primates; Hominidae. The record is from RNAcentral.